CGUUAUAGCCGUUACCAGGACGAAGAACAGAGGAUCAGACAGAAAUUUUCAUCCGAAAAUACCGCUUAUCAACUAUCUUCUGACGAUUUUCUGAUUAGAAGAAUCACAAAUCUGGUGACCAUUAAGACUAAAUGUUCAGGGAUUAAAGGAUUAAAAUACAAUUGCGGGAAAAGUGAGGAUUUCCAAGGACAUGGAUACUCAAGGAACUCAUAUCGGUAGAAUACUCGGGAAAGAUACUCAAGGAGGUCCGAACGGCAUCCGAUUCCGUCGUCAAGUUGCUGCUUGCCACAUCCAACGACGAUGACGUCCUCGACGUCUGGCGCAGCUCGAGG
This is a non-coding RNA of Linepithema humile (Argentine ant), 332 nucleotides long. The record is from RefSeq and is a predicted model, not a curated record. NCBI's taxonomy places the organism in Eukaryota, Metazoa, Arthropoda, Insecta, Hymenoptera, Formicidae.